This 68-nucleotide transfer RNA is filed under the name Marmota monax (woodchuck). Its description in RNAcentral is "tRNA.Ala". Lineage: Eukaryota; Metazoa; Chordata; Mammalia; Rodentia; Sciuridae. The record is from RNAcentral.
GGACUGUGGCUCAGUGGUAGAGCGCUUGCCUAGCACAAGCAGGACCCCGGGUUUGAUCCUCAGCACCA